Molecule: ribosomal RNA, 320 nt
Filed under: uncultured bacterium
Lineage: Bacteria
Description: bacterial SSU rRNA
Rfam family: Bacterial small subunit ribosomal RNA
Source: RNAcentral
GACGAACGCUGGCGGCGUGCCUAACACAUGCAAGUCGAACGGGGUAUUAGCAAUAAUACCUAGUGGCGAACGGGUGAGUAACGCGUGAGCAACCUGACCUUUUGAGGGGGAUAACAACCGGAAACGGUUGCUAAUACCGCAUAAGACCACACUGUCACAUGGCAGAGGGGUCAAAGGAGAAAUCCGCAGAAGGAGGGGCUCGCGUCCCAUUAGAUAGUUGGUGAGGUAACGGCCCACCAAGUCAGCGAUGGGUAGCCGAGCUGAGAGGCUGAUCGGCCACACUGGAACUGAGACACGGUCCAGACUCCUACGGGAGGCUG